Molecule: ribosomal RNA, 415 nt
Filed under: uncultured bacterium
Lineage: Bacteria
Description: bacterial SSU rRNA
Rfam family: Bacterial small subunit ribosomal RNA
Source: RNAcentral
UUUAAUUCGAUGCAACGCGAAGAACCUUACCUACUCUUGACAUCCACGGAAUUGUGCAGAGAUGCGCCAGUGCCUUCGGGAACCGUGAGACAGGUGCUGCAUGGCUGUCGUCAGCUCGUGUUGUGAAAUGUUGGGUUAAGUCCCGCAACGAGCGCAACCCUUGUCCUUUGUUGCCAGCGCGUAGAGGCGGGAACUCAAAGGAGACUGCCGGUGAUAAACCGGAGGAAGGUGGGGACGACGUCAAGUCAUCAUGGCCCUUACGAGUAGGGCUACACACGUGCUACAAUGGCGUAUACAAAGGGAUGCGAACCUGCGAGGGAAAGCGGAACUCAGAAAGUACGUCGUAGUCCGGAUUGGAGUCUGCAACUCGACUCCAUGAAGUCGGAAUCGCUAGUAAUCGUAGAUCAGAAUGCUA